RNAcentral lists this long non-coding RNA (459 nucleotides) under Helianthus annuus (common sunflower). Its description in RNAcentral is "hypothetical non coding rna". The record is from RNAcentral. Lineage: Eukaryota; Viridiplantae; Streptophyta; Magnoliopsida; Asterales; Asteraceae.
AUGAACCCUGCGACAUUGCAUCACGGCGAUCGGCUUUCCUUUUGUCUCAUACGUAAUGGUCUCAAAAUAAUAGAUCAUCUUCGUUCAAGCCUCUGAGCCAACCUAUUCGUCUGCUCUAAAACGCAACCGAUUGCCAACAUCGCCACCACGAUUGUUUGAUUCAUUAGUUCAACAAAAGCAAAGACCCAUGCCAUACAUUUGAAGGAUCUAUUUUGUAAAUAGUUAUUGCGAAAAGGUUUAGGCUAUUGUUUAUUAGGGUUCACAACUUUAACAAUGGGGGAUAGAUUGGGAAGAGUACAUAGAGGCGGUUGCACCAGUGUUGAAACACAAACAAGGGUAGCAAGCAUACUAUAAACUUAAGAUUGUAUAAAUUUAAAAUAUUGUGAGUGUCAAAACAAUGGAAUGGAUUAAUAGAUGUAUGCCUUUGAUCUUAUAAACAGAUACACCAAUAAAAGUUGC